AGGGCUUUGGUGAAAUGGUAUCACGUCUGAUUUUGAUUCAGAUAUUUCUAGUUCGAAUCUAGAAGGCCCUG
Molecule: transfer RNA, 71 nt
Filed under: Caudoviricetes sp.
Lineage: Duplodnaviria; Heunggongvirae; Uroviricota; Caudoviricetes
Description: tRNA-Gln
Rfam family: tRNA
About the family: Transfer RNA (tRNA) molecules are approximately 80 nucleotides in length. Their secondary structure includes four short double-helical elements and three loops (D, anti-codon, and T loops).
Source: RNAcentral